This 59-nucleotide transfer RNA is filed under the name Diclis ovata. Its description in RNAcentral is "partial transfer RNA-Leu". The record is from RNAcentral. Lineage: Eukaryota; Viridiplantae; Streptophyta; Magnoliopsida; Lamiales; Scrophulariaceae.
AAAAUCCGUCGACUUAUAGUAAGAGGAAAAUCGGGAGGGUUCAAGUCCCUCUAUCCCCA